RNAcentral lists this ribosomal RNA (378 nucleotides) under Hemidactylus albofasciatus (white-striped viper gecko). Its description in RNAcentral is "partial 12S ribosomal RNA". It matches the Rfam family "Bacterial small subunit ribosomal RNA", at positions 786 to 1361 of the family's 1533-position model. The record is from RNAcentral. Lineage: Eukaryota; Metazoa; Chordata; Lepidosauria; Squamata; Gekkonidae.
CCCACUAUGCUUAGUAGUAAACCCAGACAGACCCUUAAAACAUUUGCCCGCCAGAAGACUACAAGUGAUAAGCUUGAAACUCAAAGGACUUGACGGUGCCCUAAACCACCCUAGAGGAGCCUGUCCUAUAAUCGAUAACCCCCGUUAUACCCAACCUGCCCUAGAUUUUAACCCAGCCUAUAUACCGCCGUCUUCAGCCCACCUCAUGAGAGAGACUUAAGCGGGCCCAAUAGCCCCCACUAAAACGCCAGGUCAAGGUGUAGCUCAUGGGCAGGAAAGAGAUGGGCUACAUUUUCUUAAACCAGAACCCUACCAACAGAGCCAAGAAAUCGGCACCACAAAGAAGGAUUUAGUAGUAAAUCGAACAAACUUGUUCAA